UACGUAGGGUGCGAGCGUUGUCCGGAAUUAUUGGGCGUAAAGGGCUCGUAGGCGGUUUGUCGCGUCGGGAGUGAAAACCAUGGGCUUAACUCAUGGCUUGCUUCCGAUACGGGCAGACUAGAGGUAUGCAGGGGAGAACGGAAUUCCUGGUGUAGCGGUGAAAUGCGCAGAUAUCAGGAGGAACACCGGUGGCGAAGGCGGUUCUCUGGGCAUGUUCUGACGCUGAGGAGCGAAAGUGUGGGGAGCGAACAGG
Molecule: ribosomal RNA, 253 nt
Filed under: uncultured bacterium
Lineage: Bacteria
Description: partial 16S ribosomal RNA
Rfam family: Bacterial small subunit ribosomal RNA
Source: RNAcentral